GCCAGAUACAAGCCACACAGCCAGCGCCCUGUUAGCUAUACAGGCAGGAGGGAGGCUGUGAGAUUUCACCCCAGGAACUGGCAACAAGAGCUACAUAGCAUUGGCACUUCUGGCAAAGAGAUUGGCAUGUCCUACCUUGAGAAGUGGAAAAAGGAAGACAACAGCUAAAGGACAAAAGACUUUCAAGUGUAGGUAAAAUAUCUUAAAUUGAAAAUUCAUCACAGGCUGUUCUGUAAUAUAAUAAAGGGAAUUUAAUAGUGAAAUACCCAUUAACAUGCUUUUUUGCUUACUUAUUCUGAGCAGGACCAGCAAAGAGCUGCAGAGCUUCUGCAUUUUCUGGAAAUUGGAAAGUUACAGAACUUUGUAAUCUCAAAGAAGAUUAUUCUGCUGCCAUUGUUAAAAAUACAAAAGUGAAUCUUCA
Molecule: long non-coding RNA, 421 nt
Organism: Xenopus tropicalis (tropical clawed frog)
Lineage: Eukaryota; Metazoa; Chordata; Amphibia; Anura; Pipidae
Exons: 2
Source: RefSeq, a predicted model, not a curated record